AUCGGGCUUAGUAACGUGGGCUUAUGAUCUGUGUGGGGACAAUAAGUUGAUGGAACAUUGGACCAGUUUCCGUGCAAUCAUAGGUGCGGUGUUACAUAUUCUGGCUUUGUCCAAUUCUAAAUUGAGUGGGUCAGUGUCUUCGGCCCAACAGAGGGACCAUUCACUCUGGUUUCAAUUGGACCGUCCUCUUU
Molecule: non-coding RNA, 191 nt
Filed under: Brassica oleracea var. oleracea
Lineage: Eukaryota; Viridiplantae; Streptophyta; Magnoliopsida; Brassicales; Brassicaceae
Source: RNAcentral